This 791-nucleotide ribosomal RNA is filed under the name uncultured bacterium. Its description in RNAcentral is "bacterial SSU rRNA". It matches the Rfam family "Bacterial small subunit ribosomal RNA", at positions 8 to 796 of the family's 1533-position model. The record is from RNAcentral.
AGAGUUUGAUCCUGGCUCAGGAUGAACGCUAGCGGCAGGCCUAAUACAUGCAAGCUGAACGGUAAAUGUUGUAGCAAUACAAUAUGAGAGUAGCGUAAGGGUGCGUAACACGUAUGCAAUCUACCCGCAACAGGAGGAUAGCUCCCCGAAAGGGGAAUUAAUACUCCAUAAGAUCACGAGAGGGCAUCUGAUUGUGAUUAAACUCCAAGGGGUUGCGGAUGAGCAUGCGUCUGAUUAGUUAGUUGGUGAGGUAAUGGCUCACCAAGACGAUGAUCAGUAGGGGAACUGAGAGGUUGAUCCCCCACACUGGCACUGAGAUACGGGCCAGACUCCUACGGGAGGCAGCAGUAGGGAAUAUUGGUCAAUGGGUGAGAGCCUGAACCAGCCAUGCCGCGUGCAGGAAGAAAGCCUUCUGGGUUGUAAACUGCUUUUGCCAGGGGAUAAAAUACCCGUGCGCGGGGAAUUGAAGGUACCUGGUGAAUAAGCCACGGCUAACUACGUGCCAGCAGCCGCGGUAAUACGUAGGUGGCAAGCGUUGUCCGGAUUUAUUGGGUUUAAAGGGUGCGUAGGCGGCCCUGUAAGUCAGUGGUGRAAUACGGCAGCUUAACUGUCGAGGUGCCAUUGAUACUGCAGGGCUAGAGUACUGUUGAGGUAGGCGGAAUGGACGGUGUAGCGGUGAAAUGCUUAGAUAUCGUCCAGAACACCGAUAGCGAAGGCAGCUUACUAAAGAGUAACUGACGCUGAGGCACGAAAGUGUGGGGAUCAAACAGGAUUAGAUACCCUGGUAGUCC